RNAcentral lists this ribosomal RNA (1029 nucleotides) under Streptomyces netropsis. Its description in RNAcentral is "Bacterial large subunit ribosomal RNA". It matches the Rfam family "Bacterial large subunit ribosomal RNA", at positions 1898 to 2925 of the family's 2925-position model. Lineage: Bacteria; Bacillati; Actinomycetota; Actinomycetes; Kitasatosporales; Streptomycetaceae. RNAcentral also lists the same sequence under 1 other name. The record is from Rfam by way of RNAcentral.
GGCGAAGCUGAGAACUUAAGCGCCAGUAAACGGCGGUGGUAACUAUAACCAUCCUAAGGUAGCGAAAUUCCUUGUCGGGUAAGUUCCGACCUGCACGAAUGGCGUAACGACUUCUCGACUGUCUCAACCAUAGGCCCGGUGAAAUUGCACUACGAGUAAAGAUGCUCGUUUCGCGCAGCAGGACGGAAAGACCCCGGGACCUUUACUAUAGCUUGAUAUUGGUGUUCGGUUCGGCUUGUGUAGGAUAGGUGGGAGACUGUGAAGCAUGCACGCCAGUGUGUGUGGAGUCGUCGUUGAAAUACCACUCUGGUCGUGCUGGAUGUCUAACCUGGGUCCGUGAUCCGGAUCAGGGACAGUGUCUGGUGGGUAGUUUAACUGGGGCGGUUGCCUCCUAAAGAGUAACGGAGGCGCCCAAAGGUUCCCUCAGCCUGGUUGGCAAUCAGGUGUUGAGUGUAAGUGCACAAGGGAGCUUGACUGUGAGACCGACGGGUCGAGCAGGGACGAAAGUCGGGACUAGUGAUCCGGCGGUGGCUUGUGGAAGCGCCGUCGCUCAACGGAUAAAAGGUACCCCGGGGAUAACAGGCUGAUCUUCCCCAAGAGUCCAUAUCGACGGGAUGGUUUGGCACCUCGAUGUCGGCUCGUCGCAUCCUGGGGCUGGAGUCGGUCCCAAGGGUUGGGCUGUUCGCCCAUUAAAGCGGUACGCGAGCUGGGUUUAGAACGUCGUGAGACAGUUCGGUCCCUAUCCGCUGUGCGCGUAGGAAUAUUGAGAAGGGCUGUCCCUAGUACGAGAGGACCGGGACGGACGAACCUCUGGUGUGCCAGUUGUCCUGCCAAGGGCAUGGCUGGUUGGCUACGUUCGGGAGGGAUAACCGCUGAAAGCAUCUAAGCGGGAAGCCUGCUUCGAGAUGAGUAUUCCCACCCCCUUUGAGGGGUUAAGGCUCCCAGUAGACGACUGGGUUGAUAGGCCAGGUGUGGAAGACCGGUAACGGUUGGAGCUGACUGGUACUAAUAGGCCGAGGGCUUGUCCUC